RNAcentral lists this ribosomal RNA (417 nucleotides) under Shigella sonnei. RNAcentral describes it as "partial 23S ribosomal RNA". It matches the Rfam family "Bacterial large subunit ribosomal RNA", at positions 1 to 448 of the family's 2925-position model. Lineage: Bacteria; Pseudomonadati; Pseudomonadota; Gammaproteobacteria; Enterobacterales; Enterobacteriaceae. The record is from RNAcentral.
GGGUUGUGAGGUUAAGCGACUAAGCGUACACGGUGGAUGCCCUGGCAGUCAGAGGCGAUGAAGGACGUGCUAAUCUGCGAUAAGCGUCGGUAAGGUGAUAUGAACCGUUAUAACCGGCGAUUUCCGAAUGGGGAAACCCAGUGUGAUUCGUCACACUAUCAUUAACUGAAUCCAUAGGUUAAUGAGGCGAACCGGGGGAACUGAAACAUCUAAGUACCCCGAGGAAAAGAAAUCAACCGAGAUUCCCCCAGUAGCGGCGAGCGAACGGGGAGCAGCCCAGAGCCUGAAUCAGUGUGUGUGUUAGUGGAAGCGUCUGGAAAGGCGCGCGAUACAGGGUGACAGCCCCGUACACAAAAAUGCACAUAUUGUGAGCUCGAUGAGUAGGGCGGGACACGUGGUAUCCUGUCUGAAUAUGGG